RNAcentral lists this ribosomal RNA (465 nucleotides) under uncultured bacterium. RNAcentral's name for it is "partial 16S ribosomal RNA". It matches the Rfam family "Bacterial small subunit ribosomal RNA", at positions 29 to 507 of the family's 1533-position model. The record is from RNAcentral.
AAUGAACGUUGGCGGCGUGGAUUAGGCAUGCAAGUCGAGCGAGAACCCCGCAAGGGGGGACAGCGGCGAAAGGGACAGUAAUGUGUAGAUUAUCUGCCCUCAGGUCCGGGAUAGCUGCGGGAAACUGCAGGUAAUACCGGAUAACAUCUCCGGAUCAAAGGUGUGAUUCCGCCUGAGGAUGAGUCUGCAUCCUAUUAGCUAGUUGGUGGGGUAAUGGCCUACCAAGGCAUUGAUGGGUAGCAGGUGUGAGAGCACGACCUGCGUCAUUGGGACUGAGACACUGCCCAGACACCGACGGGUGGCUGCAGUCGAGAAUCUUCGGCAAUGGGCGCAAGCCUGACCGAGCGACGCCGCGGGUGGGAUGAAGGCCUUCGGGUUGUAAACCACUGUCAGAGGGGAUGAAAUGCAGGUGGGUUCUCCCAUCUGUUUGACAUAGCCGCAGAGGAAGGACGGGCUAAGUUCGUG